Molecule: ribosomal RNA, 233 nt
Filed under: uncultured bacterium
Lineage: Bacteria
Description: partial 16S ribosomal RNA
Rfam family: Bacterial small subunit ribosomal RNA
Source: RNAcentral
UCCUACGGGGGGCAGCAGUGGGGAAUAUUGCACAAUGGGGGAAACCCUGAUGCAGCGACGCCGCGUGAGCGAAGAAGUAUUUCGGUAUGUAAAGCUCUAUCAGCAGGGAAGAAAAAAAUGACGGUACCUGAGUAAGAAGCACCGGCUAAAUACGUGCCAGCAGCCGCGGUAAUACGUAUGGUGCAAGCGUUAUCCGGAUUUACUGGGUGUAAAGGGGGCUAAGCCGCGGGGUU